AGCAGCCGCGGUAAUUCCAGCUCCAAUAGCGUAUAUUAAAGUUGUUGCAGUUAGAAAGCUCGUAGUUGAAUUUCGAGAUCAAUUUGUUGGUCGUGCCUCGGUACGUACUGGCAAUUUUGAUUUCUCCCUUCUGAAGAACCAUGAUGUCAUUAAUUUGGUGUCAUGGGGAAUCAGGACCGUUACUUUGAAAAAAUUAGAGUGUUUAAAGCAGGCUCGCGCUUGAAUACAUUAGCAUGGAAUAAUGAAAUAGGACGUUUGAUUCUAUUUUGUUGGUUUCUAGGAUCGACGUAAUGAUUAAUAGGGAUAGUUGGGGGCAUUAGUAUUCAAUUGUCAGAGGUGAAAUUCUUGGAUUUAUUGAAGACUAACUACUGCGAAAGCAUUUGCCAAGGAUGUUUUCAUUAAUCAAGAACGAAAGUUAGGGGAUCGAAGACGAUCAGAUACCGUCGUAGUCUUAACCAUAAACUAUGCCGACUAGGGAUCGGAUGAUGUUAAUUUUUUAAUGACUCAUUCGGCGCCUUACG
Molecule: ribosomal RNA, 521 nt
Filed under: uncultured Glomeraceae
Lineage: Eukaryota; Fungi; Glomeromycota; Glomeromycetes; Glomerales; Glomeraceae
Description: SSU rRNA
Rfam family: Eukaryotic small subunit ribosomal RNA
Source: RNAcentral